GUGGGGAUCGGGUUAGAGGAGGGGAAGGGGAACGGGAUAUGGGUUGAGUUAGGGUUUGUGGGAUUGGACAGAUUUAGGGAUUUUUGGUUAUGUUGUUAAAUCUGGGGCUAAUAUCUUACUCUGUUUUGUAUUUGCCUCUCCUUUUUCGAUUCCACAUGGUUUCCCCCCUCCUUCUGUGUAUUCUCAAAGUAACACAGGUGCAAGAUUUGAAGUUUAUCUACCUAACUUAGGUGGAUAUAAUGGAAUCAGCGUAAAGGACAUGGGAAAGAGAGAAGAGAAAAGGGCUAAUAUCGGAGAGAAGUCGGUUGAACUUUGUAGGGAGCUCCAGACUGCUUUAGGCACUGCAAAAUGGCAGAAAGAGAAAUAAUAAGGUACACCAAAAGAAAAAGGGUCCAAACCACUAAAGCAAAAAAUGAACAAAAGGUUGCACAAUUCGUGAAACAACAUUCACAUUCAUAGGAGGAGCGCAAUGUAUCGUGCAACGGCGGCAACUUUAGCUGAUUUGGAUGUUGUUGGUCUAAUAAAAUAUGGGUGUCGGGACAACUACUGUAAGCAACAGGUGUGUGUAACAUUCCUAGAGAUAACAUUAGGCCGUCUCUUAUUCUCUUUUCUAAACCUUCCACCUUGGUAUGGCUCGUCUAAUGUGGAAAUGGUUUCAUAAAUGACUUGAAGAUGUUCUAAGAAGGAAACUGCCAGUAGUAGCAUUAGUUGUUGGUCACUAAUUUUAGGGUGAGAUAAAAUUUCAAUGGUCAUCCGCAUAUAUUUUGAGAGUACUGUGACAUUAGAAGGACCAGC
Rhododendron vialii is the source of this 795-nucleotide RNA transcript. RefSeq lists it as uncharacterized. Lineage: Eukaryota; Viridiplantae; Streptophyta; Magnoliopsida; Ericales; Ericaceae. The transcript is spliced from 3 exons. The record is from RefSeq and is a predicted model, not a curated record.